RNAcentral lists this ribosomal RNA (478 nucleotides) under uncultured bacterium. Its description in RNAcentral is "bacterial SSU rRNA". It matches the Rfam family "Bacterial small subunit ribosomal RNA", at positions 29 to 506 of the family's 1533-position model. The record is from RNAcentral.
AUGAACGCUAGCGGCAGGCCUAAUACAUGCAAGUCGAGGGGUAUGGGUUGCUUGCAACCCAGAGACCGGCGCACGGGUGCGUAACGCGUAUGCAAUCUACCUUAAUCAGGGGGAUAGCCCGGAGAAAUUCGGAUUAACACCGCAUAACAUUGAAUCAUGGCAUCAUGGAUCAAUCAAAUAUUUAUAGGAUUAAGAUGAGCAUGCGUGACAUUAGUUAGUUGGUGAGGUAACGGCUCACCAAGACCACGAUGUCUAGGGGAUCUGAGAGGAUGACCCCCCACACUGGUACUGAGACACGGACCAGACUCCUACGGGAGGCAGCAGUAAGGAAUAUUGGUCAAUGGGCGCAAGCCUGAACCAGCCAUGCCGCGUGCAGGAAGACGGCCCUAUGGGUUGUAAACUGCUUUUGUACCGGAAUAAACCUUCUCUUGCGAGAGGAGCUGAACGUACGGUAAGAAUAAGGAUCGGCUAACUCCGU